AGCUCUCAAGCUUAGGGUUUUUAUGGGGCGAGACCACAUGCAGGUGGCCGGGGAGUUUAGGGUGGGGAAAUUCUAGUAGCUCUAUGUUGCACAACCAGUUGCACGACCACUACCCAAUUCCGAGAACUUGCAAUGGACACUUAGGGGAAAAGAUAAAGAAAAAGGGAGGGGUAGGGGUCUUAAUUACCUAUGAGCAAGCAUAGUUACAGAAGCGAAAAGCUGGUUAGGCUAGUUUGGGCCUUUAGGCUAGUUUGGGCCUUUCAGACUUUCCUGUUUGGGUAUGUCAGAGGGUGCUGGCAAUGGGGGGUUAUCCUCACAUCUAACAAAAUCACCCAAAAUAUCUUCAUAUUUUAUGAUGGAGAAAUAUAGGCCAGCUUGUUACUCAAUUUAGGUGGAUUUACAGCUAUUUGAACAACCACAUCCAAAGCCCAUUGUUAAUGGAAUGAUGUUUAACCUGGAGAGAAAGAUCUCUAGUUCUCUUCAUAGUUCUGAGAUUCUUUGAAAGCUAUAGUUGUGAACCUCUUUAUUUUGGAAGUGAAUUGUAAAGAAUUUUGUCCAAAGUGAUGUUAUACUCCAGCCCAGAAGUAAACAUAUAGAUUAGGCAGACUUGGAGUAGCCCAACAUGGAUUCUUCCACAUUACUCUUUUUCAAAACCUCUGCCUCUCUCCAUCAUACCAAAUAGUAUAUAACAGACUUGGCUUUGGCUUGUUGGUCUCUCAAUCCAAUCUCAGCUAUUGUUUUUCAGCUUAACUUUGGUGACUCACUUGUGCUCAGUUCUGAUCCAGACAAUGGAGAACCAUUCUAGCAAGAACUGAACCGAUUUUUAUUCUCUCGUCGAUGUUCAAAGCUCAGCCUACUGUGAUGCAGUCUGUGUCCGUGUUCUCUGUUUCUGCAAGCUUUGUUGGCCAAGUUCAUCAACUUUGACUUGACCAGACAUGCACUAAGUACAUUCUGCAGACAUAGCUGAAGAUCUUGGAGACGUUUGCUUCCCAAAGGAUUCCCCAUGAAAAGCUCCACUUUUAUUCCUACUAACUAGCCCAGUUUUCCAAUCAUAUGAAUUUCCUGGAAUAUUUUUUGAGAGAACCAGAUUUAUUGAAGAGCUGCUGAGUCCUUUGAAAUGUCUUUACCCCAGAUAUAGACAAAGAUAAAUUUAUUCUCUGAAUAUAAAUUUAUCAGGGUAAGAAGGUAAAAUUUAGUCAAUAAGGUACAUUUGUCUGAUUAUGGGUUUGGCUGUGUGCAGCAGAGACUUAAAGCAUCAGUGGCGUAAUAUCGAGGAUUAUUUCUCCUACGUAACUGGUGGCUCCAUGGUGUCAAGGACCCAGACUUUUCCUGUCUUACUGCUUCAUCGUCAUUAGGGUAUGGCCCUCAUCUGCACAGUCCACAUGGCUCGCAGCAGCCACAUCCUCAGCCCAGGCAGGAAAGAGGAGGAAGGGGACAUCCCCUUCUCAGAGGCUGCGCCCAGUGCUUCCCCGCACACGCACACGCACACACAUGUGCCCACACGCACAAACACCCCAGCUGCUGGGAAAUUAUUUUGGGCAACCAGUAAAAACAGAUCCUAUUAAGAGGGAGGAAGAGGACAGACAUUGGGAACAACGAGUAGUCUUUCCAGCAUAUUCCUGGAAAAUAUAAAACGUCAGAAGCGGCAGUAGGUGAGCCAGGGAGGGAAGAAUCAUUACCUCAUCCAAGAAUGACGUCAGGCUGAUGAUUCAGCAGCAAUCCUGCCAGGGUUCCCAGAGAAACCCCUAUCUGGAUGACGUGAUGUCUCCCCACCUCUGCUGCUGCCUCCCUCCACGCCCACUGCCCCGUCACCAUCUCCUCUCGAGAGCCGCAAUUCCAUCUGUGGACCUCCGGUUGCCAUCUGCACUGAGACAAGUGGACCUGCCCAUCUGCCCACGCCACUUCUAAACCCUUUGGGCACACUCUGAAAGGACAGCCCCCAGCUCGUGCAGUCACAGUGUUUGGAGUCAAGGGGACACCAAAGCGGCAAUAUUUUGCUUGGGGAGCUAGAACAUCUCUAGACAAGCUGAUCGCGACAAAGGAGUCCAGGACUAUGACUUAAAAUCACAUGGAAUGAGAUCAAGCUGCCCUUUGGGCUUGGGUUUCUACACUUCUGGCCCCAAUAAAAGGAUCCAGUUGAAUCAUGAGUGCCUGUAAAAUUUUGUGGAUUUGUAGAAGCUCAUAGAUUCCAGUCUUCCUAAAGAGAGUAGUAAAUCAU
Non-coding RNA from Microcebus murinus (gray mouse lemur), 2218 nucleotides. Lineage: Eukaryota; Metazoa; Chordata; Mammalia; Primates; Cheirogaleidae. The record is from RefSeq and is a predicted model, not a curated record.